CUAAUACAUGCAAGUCGAACGAACCGCGACUAGGUGCUUGCACUUGGUCAAGGUGAGUGGCGAACGGGUGAGUAACACGUGGGUAACCUACCUCAUAGUGGGGGAUAACAGUCGGAAACGACUGCUAAUACCGCAUAGGACAUGGGAUCACAUGAUUCUGUGAGGAAAGGUGGCGCAAGCUAUCGCUAAGAGAUGGACCCGCGGUGCAUUAGCUAGUUGGUAGGGUAACGGCCUACCAAGGCGAUGAUGCAUAGCCGACCUGAGAGGGUGAUCGGCCACAUUGGGACUGAGACACGGCCCAAACUCCUACGGGAGGCAGCAGUAGGGAAUCUUCCGCAAUGGACGCAAGUCUGACGGAGCAACGCCGCGUGAGUGAAGAAGGUCUUCGGAUCGUAAAGCUCUGUUGUUAGAGAAGAACAGCGCAUAGAGUAACUGUUAUGCGUGUG
Molecule: ribosomal RNA, 446 nt
Filed under: Abiotrophia defectiva
Lineage: Bacteria; Bacillati; Bacillota; Bacilli; Lactobacillales; Aerococcaceae
Description: bacterial SSU rRNA
Rfam family: Bacterial small subunit ribosomal RNA
Source: RNAcentral